UCGGAACGUCCGCUGGGCGUUCGCGGACGAGGGAGCUGUACCCGCAUCACGACAAGACGGCCAUG
RNAcentral lists this non-coding RNA (65 nucleotides) under Ruaniaceae bacterium KH17. The record is from RNAcentral. Lineage: Bacteria; Bacillati; Actinomycetota; Actinomycetes; Micrococcales; Ruaniaceae. RNAcentral also lists the same sequence under 1 other name.